UUCUUAAAAAUAUCAAGUCGAACAAGGUUGUUAAGUUCUCAGGAUCAGCUGUUCUGCAACAUUGUCAUUUUCUCGGACAACCACGAAAUACGACGGAUUUGGAGCACACUCAAAAUUAGUUAGCGAUUUUGUGUCCGAGGCAUUCACCAUGCUUGGGAAUAUACCAAUGUAGUCGCGUGGGAGGGAAAAGAAAGAAAACGACGAAGUCGUUCCUUCUAGUUCGCGACGACGACACGAAAGACCGCCACUUUACAGAACUCGAGCUUGUUACCGACCAGCCGGAGCUGAGUUCGAAUACGAAGUUCGUUUAGCUGGGUUGCUAACGGCACCAGUACUGAACAGCUGGGCUAUUCCACUCGGCCAGGUUAGGCUAGGUAACAUGGAAAAUGGCAUACGUAUAUUACACCGUAUGCACGCCUGCGUAGCACACUGUUACACGCAUACAAAGAGAGGGAAGGCAAAUUAAAUCUUCCACGGACCAGAGAGAUAAGUAAAUUUCAAUUAAAAAUUAAAAACUAUUUAAUUUUUAACAAAUCAACAAGACUCGAUCCAUGAAUUUGAUGUAAAUUAAAUAAAAAAAGUUAGAAAGUAUAGAGAAUUUAUUACGUUUCGAAAUUAGUGACACGUGUGUCACUAAAAAAAAUUUACACUUGUUUCAGAGAGAGAUUUACGUAUGUAAUAAUCCAUAUUGAGAAUUCUGAAUUUUUCUUUGCUAAUGAAUAAAGAAUUUUGCGAUAACGCAAUGCCUAAUGUAUAUUGCAUCGCGUCUUUAACAUGAAGUAAUGUGCCUGAUUAUAUUUGCUUUUACAUGCCUGCGAUAAAUGUCGACGCCUUUGCAUGUUCUAUAUGUGAGCAGCAGCAAAAGCGUUACGGCAUUAUGUCAUCCUCCUUCGUGUGCUUUAAAAAUGUUUGCGUGAAGCGUUCGCACGUGAAGACGACACCGAUAAACGUAUAGAGGAUUGUGGCAAUGCUGUGGCAACAAGGGAAAGUGGAAUUUGGGCUACACGCAGGAUUGCACGCGAGAGCGAGAGAGCGAGCGAAUGGAUUUCGUGGGGAUGCAAGACACUGGAGCACGGACGGGGACGGCAAAUGACGUAAGAUAAGAUAAGGCAAGGUGAGGUUUGGUGAGCUGAGAGAGCUCCUUAUGGGCAUCCUUAUAAGGCUGCGGCGCCCACGUGUGUGCGGCUCUCGACGACAUGCGGUGCGCUUUCGGACAAGGACUUAUACACGUUUCUCUACAUCUUUCUUUUUUAUCAUUGGCUACGUACACGGUAGGGAGAAACACGGGAUGGAUCUUGUAUCUUAAACAACGUGACACGCGCAUUCCUGCAUCCUGGAAUGCAUUAGGCAUGAAAAGGUCAGAUCAGGUUGUGCGCCAUUUUACGAAAAUCAUCUUUAUAAAUGCCAGUAGAAUAAUGUAAUAUAAAAAUAUUUCAUCUCCAACAUAAGUAAUAUCGUAUGUGUAAAAUAAUUAUAAUCUUUGUGUGUUAGCUAAAAAGAACUUCUAGACAAAUCUCAAAGUUUCGUCAAAUAAUCCUCCUCUAAUUUGUUGUAAGCGUGUAUAAAAAUAAGUCAGUAUAGAAAUAAAAUUAUUGAAAAUUAUAAAAACUAAUCAUUAGCGAAUUUCUAAUUUCACGUGUCAAUUGUAACACAUGUUCAAAGAUAUUUCAUGUGUAAUAAGAUAGCGAGAUAAUUGUAACGUAUUAAUUCUGUUUUAAUACAUAUGUAUUCCAUUAAGAAAAAAAAAAUUACAUAA
Pogonomyrmex barbatus (red harvester ant) is the source of this 1756-nucleotide long non-coding RNA. RefSeq lists it as uncharacterized. The record is from RefSeq and is a predicted model, not a curated record. Lineage: Eukaryota; Metazoa; Arthropoda; Insecta; Hymenoptera; Formicidae.